GCAGAAAAUGUACUACAACAAUCGAAAGUUGGUACUGAUCUAGUGUGAUGAAUUUAGAAGUUGGUAGUUGGUAGCAUUGCUUCUCAUGAAAUUGAAAAUCAAAUCAGGGGAUCUGUGAAUAGAGAGUGAAGUUUUUAUUAAGUUUAGUUUCGAUGGAGACGGGAAAUUGUUUUUUUGUGUAACAUUCCAGCAAACAUUUAUUUGUACGUUAUCAUCAUUCUUUAUGGAGGCUGACUUUCUGGCGUUAUAAACGCAAUGGCGUUCUCGUGGAGUUCCCGUUCGAGUCUAGGUGACGUUGGGACUUACAUAAGUGUAUAAAGGACUUUUGUUGAAGCUUUCAUUUAGCGAGGUUAUGGAAGAAAUGCCGGUUAAACUUCAUUUGCUGGAGUUUGGAGGCUAUGGGUUGCAUCUGGAGUACUAAGGCCCUUGGAGCCCUUGGAUUUGAUGUUCCUGUUGCAGUCGCAUGUAUCGAAGGGAGCUGCAGUCGCAGAUCUCAAAGGGGGUUGCAGUUUUGGCAAUGCCAAGUCAGCCGUCUGGUCCAGCUUCCUUAUGCAUUUGCUGACCCAUGCUCAAGCAAGUAAUUUCAAGGACUAUUCCGGAGGUGUGUAAUGCGCUGAUAGAUGUCUUCAGGAAUGUGUAAAGGUUAGUGUUAAUCAUACAUCUAAUUUAAAAUAAAGAAUCUGAUAGAGUCUAGCUAGACUCUAUAUUGUAAUUAAUUCAAGUUU
Anoplophora glabripennis (Asian longhorned beetle) is the source of this 725-nucleotide long non-coding RNA. RefSeq lists it as uncharacterized. The transcript is spliced from 3 exons. The record is from RefSeq and is a predicted model, not a curated record. NCBI's taxonomy places the organism in Eukaryota, Metazoa, Arthropoda, Insecta, Coleoptera, Cerambycidae.